UUUUUGCGUUAGGGGUAGAAGCGGCAUCCUUUUGAGUUGAUAAACGAAAAAGAUACAGCGUAUAACCCGCCCGAAC
This 76-nucleotide small RNA is filed under the name Mesonia algae. RNAcentral describes it as "Flavo-1 RNA". The record is from RNAcentral. Lineage: Bacteria; Pseudomonadati; Bacteroidota; Flavobacteriia; Flavobacteriales; Flavobacteriaceae.